RNAcentral lists this ribosomal RNA (497 nucleotides) under uncultured bacterium. RNAcentral's name for it is "partial 16S ribosomal RNA". It matches the Rfam family "Bacterial small subunit ribosomal RNA", at positions 28 to 507 of the family's 1533-position model. The record is from RNAcentral.
GAUGAACGCUGGCGGCGUGCCUAAUACAUGCAAGUCGAGCGAACAGACGAGGAGCUUGCUCCUCUGACGUUAGCGGCGGACGGGUGAGUAACACGUGGAUAACCUACCUAUAAGACUGGGAUAACUUCGGGAAACCGGAGCUAAUACCGGAUAACAUGUUGAACCGCAUGGUUCAACAGUGAAAGACGGUUUUGCUGUCACUUAUAGAUGGAUCCGCGUCGCAUUAGCUAGUUGGUAAGGUAACGGCUUACCAAGGCAACGAUGCGUAGCCGACCUGAGAGGGUGAUCGGCCACACUGGAACUUAGACACGGUCCAGACUCCUACGGGAGGCAGCAGUAGGGAAUCUUCCGCAAAGGGCGAAAGCCUGACGGAGCAACGCCGCGUGAGUGAAGAAGGUCUUCGGAUCGUAAAACUCUGUUAUUAGGGAAGAACAAAUGUGUAAGUAACUAUGCACGUCUUGACGGUACCUAAUCAGAAAGCCACGGCUAACUACGUG